RNAcentral lists this long non-coding RNA (1192 nucleotides) under Ananas comosus (pineapple). RNAcentral describes it as "long non-coding RNA (ACOM_LNC020893)". The record is from RNAcentral. Lineage: Eukaryota; Viridiplantae; Streptophyta; Magnoliopsida; Poales; Bromeliaceae.
AUAAAAUCGUGUACUCGGCUUUAAAGAUAAUAUAAUUCUUAUUCACUGAUUAAUGGACUCCUUACGAAUUUGUUAUAUUAUUUACCAGUUACAAUAUUUACCGGUUACAAUACUAUAAAAUCGUGUACUCGGCUCUCGAACGCACAAUUACAAGCUUAGUAACACUAUUUAUCAGACCAUUGCACUGGUAUUACUACAGUAUUACACCCUUACAAUGCUUCGUUGCACUUUUUUUUAAAUCCAUUGCACUGUUAUGAAUCCUUAUUGCACUCUUACCAGCUUCGUUGCACUCUUUCGUAAACUAUUAUUCUGUUAUUCACACUACCUUGCACUAUUAUUCGCAUUUAACUAUGGACUUACUUAUUUUACAAUAGAAAGAAGGCGUGAGCUUUUAUGAGAAACUUUACAUAAUUAUUUUUCUUAAAUCGUUUAGCAGUUAUGUCACACCUCUCGAACUGCGUACCCGCCGGCGACCGUCUGGCCCCGCUGACACUUAUCUUCUUCAAUCGUUUAGCAGUUAUCUCGCACAUCGCGGACCGUCCUGCCCCGCAGCCAACCGUGCAGCGCCGCCGACGCUUCGCCUACAUUUGGAGGGGACGUCGUUCAUUUGCACUUUUAACUUCAGAUUAUAUUAAUAAAUAAGUAAAGUAAAAUUUUGAUUGGGUAUGUCGAGGUUGCACUGGAGCUAGACUAGGGAUGCACUGUUAGAAGGUCGGUUGCACCAUUUUUCGUGGCGUUGCUCCAUUGCGUUGCACUAUUAUCCCUGUUGCGGGGCGUGCAGUUUUUGUCAUUUAGCUUCGAAAAUUUUAUUAGUAAAGCCGAACAGCAAACAACGGGGCCGGCGAAUAGGGCGGCGGAUGUGGUCCGGGUUCCGAUAAAUGAGAGAGGUUGCGUAAGGCGGAAGCGGCGCAUUUAAUGCGUGCCAGACUGUACGGCUGGGUAGUAUAUGUAUGUUAAGAAAUACGCGGGAGGCUAUUAUACACGAGGGGCAUUUUGGUCAGUUUACUUAAAGAGCGGAUCGAAUCUGCAAAAACGAAAAAAGUGGCCCGAUUUUGCAAAAGCCCAAAAUAAGUGGAUUUUUUAUGCAAAUUGGACAAAAAGUUAUGAAGAAGAAAAGAUAUUCAAGCAGGUUCACUGUUUAAUUAGUAUUUUCACUUGCAAAAGAUAAUCAAUCCGACUAUUUGAUGAAUAU